This 157-nucleotide small nuclear RNA is filed under the name Carlito syrichta (Philippine tarsier). RNAcentral describes it as "U1 spliceosomal RNA (ENSTSYG00000033782.1)". It matches the Rfam family "U1 spliceosomal RNA". Rfam says of the family: U1 is a small nuclear RNA (snRNA) component of the spliceosome (involved in pre-mRNA splicing). Its 5' end forms complementary base pairs with the 5' splice junction, thus defining the 5' donor site of an intron. The record is from Rfam by way of RNAcentral. Lineage: Eukaryota; Metazoa; Chordata; Mammalia; Primates; Tarsiidae.
UUACUUACCUGGCAAGGGAGAUACCAUGAUCAUGAAGGUGGUUUUCCCAGGCUUAUCCAUUGCACUCCAGAUGUGUAGACCCCUGCGAUUUCCCCAAAUGAGGGAAAUUCGACUGCAUGAUUUGUGGUGGGGGGGAUUGCGUUUGUGCUCUCCCUUG